GAUGUGAAGCGAAACCCAAAAAGCAGUCACAGUUCGGAUUGAAGGCUGAAAUUCGCCUUCAUGAAGCCGGAAUUGCUAGUAAUGGCAGGUCAGCAUACUGCCGUGAAUACGUUCCCGGGCCUUGUACACACCGCCCGUCACACCAUGAGAGUUGGGGAUACCCGAAGCCUGUGAGCCUAACUUUUUAAGAGGCAGCAGUCGAAGGUAGAGUCAAUGAUUGGGGUGAAGUCGUAACAAGGUAUC
Molecule: ribosomal RNA, 243 nt
Filed under: uncultured bacterium
Lineage: Bacteria
Description: partial 16S ribosomal RNA
Rfam family: Bacterial small subunit ribosomal RNA
Source: RNAcentral